UGACGGGGCUCGAACCCGCAGC
Molecule: transfer RNA, 22 nt
Filed under: Schiedea globosa
Lineage: Eukaryota; Viridiplantae; Streptophyta; Magnoliopsida; Caryophyllales; Caryophyllaceae
Description: partial tRNA-Asp
Source: RNAcentral